CUGAAACAAAGUGAGCAAGUUAAUAUUAAAAAAUCUAUUUCUUUCAUAUAUUUUAUUAUGUCUUCAUGAAAAAUUGGUUUCCAUAAGGUCUUCGUUAUUAUAGAUUUUAUCAAUUAUAGAAUUUAUUUCCAUAAGUUCAUGUUGCUUCUCUAAUUUGCUUUUAUGUGAAUUAUCAAUUAUGUAUGUUUUCUCUUUAAAAAGUUCCUAGGUGAUAUAACUAGUAAGCAUCUGCCUUAUUCAAAAACUGGUAACACAAAAUAAAACUACCUUUCUGCUAGUGUAUCUAGAGGCUUUCCAGCAGCAAAGAAUGUCUUUUGAUUUUGAUUCCAUUUUUCUGUAUAAAAUUCACAACCAAUAUCAGUAAUAAAAAACAUCAACGAUAAAGUAAAAAAGAGAUAUGGGUUAAUUGGUGUUCAUUUUUUAGUUUUUGCUCAUCUUUGUUUAUCUUGCUUGAUUAUUUCUGCCUGGGCAGAAAUAUGAUACGAUACAGAAAAAGAAAAAAAAUGAUUAAAGUUAGCUUUAUAUAAAACUCACAUGUUCUCUUGCUCUACUUUUUCAGCAAUUAAUAUUGCUUUCUGUCUGGACCAUCCUUUUUCCUGUGGACAUCCUUCGGGUUUAUGAAUCACACGAGUAAGAGAUGGUUUUUCUCUCACCGAUUUUCUUCUUUGAGGUUGUUUUCUGCUGUUCUUUCUUCCAAGCAUGGGAACCAUGUCAGUUCGAUUUGGCAAACAUGAAUGGCAUGGUUCGUAUCUUUCUUCACCAAGGUGUGCGCUGCCAGUUUUUUGUUGUAUUCUAGUAGGAGAUGCUAGAAUUUGAACGAUUUCAUUUUUUGUCUUCUCACAAUGGACAUGUUUAUUAGUUUUUACUGAGUUUCUAACUGUUUUCACAACAUUAUUUGUUGAAGUACUUCUCAUUUUAUCAGCAGCUGUUUCUUUCCAGGAACCAUUUCUAAUUUCAAGAUGUACAUUAGUGCCGAGGACAGAUUCAAAAGCCUUCAAGAUAUGACUCCUGAAACUCUCAGCUUUUGAUUUGUUUACGUUUGAACUUAACAUCAACUCUACAGUAUAAUCUGUUUAUAACAAAGAUUUAUUAGAUCAUUCCUAUCAUAAUGUAAGGUCGUACCAUCAAAAAUUAUAAGGAGAGUAAACGGCAUAGUUACCUGCAGAUCUUGUACCAAAGCUGAUAGAUGUGAGCAUCGCUUCUUGAUGCAUAAAAUAUUUCAGGGUAUUUAUUUGGAUAUUCUCAAUUACUGCUAUCCAGAUUUUCUCAACAUCCAUAAAUUCAUUAUUUUGAUUGCAUUGGUUUGCUUGUCUAGUUUCCGCAGAAUGAAUUGGACUCCUGAGAUUGACAUUAUCCGUGUCCUUUUCAUUUUUACAUAAAUGUUCUUGCCCGUUGGCAUUGUUCAGGGUAUCACCCUCAUUUGUGAUAUUCAUGACCAUUGGACUGUUGCUAAAACUAUUAUCUGUGGAAGAGUUUGGUAGCAUAUACUGCUCAUCUGGAGCAAGCUGGAGCAGUGCAGCU
RNAcentral lists this long non-coding RNA (1521 nucleotides) under Zostera marina. RNAcentral describes it as "long non-coding RNA (ZMAR_LNC001751)". Lineage: Eukaryota; Viridiplantae; Streptophyta; Magnoliopsida; Alismatales; Zosteraceae. The record is from RNAcentral.